AUAGAUGAUGAGAGGAAUACCCCCACUAAACUGAGCAGCCCGAGAGGGUUCACUUCGAGAGGAUAUUGACCGACUAUUUGAAAUGCUGGAGAGACUCAUCGCUGCCCAGCAGGCCCGGGAGGAAAGAAGGGAGAUACUUGACCCUCCUCCACUGCCCCAGUUUGAGCCACUCCUGUAGCGAGAGGAUCCUGAGCCAUCUCGGUACAAUUAUGCUCCUCCACAAUAUCACCCGAAACCACCAUAGUACAAUCCAGUGCCUUUACCAUAUCAUCUAGUACCACCACAAGGCCAUCCGGUCCCUCUCCAGCACAAUACAACCCCUCUUCCAAGGGACCCAGUUUCACCCAUGAUGUACCCAGACUACAUUGAGAGGUAUAA
This 378-nucleotide long non-coding RNA is filed under the name Carica papaya (papaya). Its description in RNAcentral is "long non-coding RNA (CPAP_LNC012915)". Lineage: Eukaryota; Viridiplantae; Streptophyta; Magnoliopsida; Brassicales; Caricaceae. The record is from RNAcentral.